RNAcentral lists this long non-coding RNA (3800 nucleotides) under Triticum aestivum (bread wheat). RNAcentral's name for it is "long non-coding RNA (TAES_LNC015826)". The record is from RNAcentral. Lineage: Eukaryota; Viridiplantae; Streptophyta; Magnoliopsida; Poales; Poaceae.
CACGACCACUGUGACGUCACUUCCCUUAAUAAUUAUAUCCUUACACUAUACACGUUUCACAACUAUAAUUUGAACACCUGCUUGCCAUAAAUAAAUAUAUGUUUACACUAUACACAAGUGAAUCAUGUUGUGUCAUUUACAUGACGGGUAAAUUAAAUGAACAUGUCUUGAUUAGGUACGACAUACUUUGGACAAGGAAGAGACCUGCAGAUAAAUAACACAAUUAAACAAACAAGUACUGAAAUAUAAGUGCUCCGCAUUAAGCUUGCUAGUAAGGAAAAUAUCAGGAGAUGGCUUGCUAGCUUUCACCUCUAGAUCACCCCCAUGGCAACUUGAUACAUCAGAGCAAGAAAACAUUCCUCAAUGGUUACAAACCUUCGGUGCAAAAUGACAUUCAUGGGAUCUGAAGACAUCACUAAGAAAUAUCAGGUUCUAUAUGAGUUUGACUUAUUAAAGAACAGAGAACAAUGAAGAAAAGUGCAGUACAUUAAAUCAAGGCCAAAUGAUACAUUGCAUGCAUCAGCGAGCAAAAAAAUAAAUGGUGUCUAAUAUUAUGUUUUCCCCUUCCAAUAGAGAGACUCCUUCUAUAUGUUUAACCAGUGAUUAAUUCCGGUUACACCAAAUAAACAUAGUUCUAAAUGACACCAACAUUUUUUAUGAAACAAAGGACAACCAAAAUUAACUCCCCUCGCGUGGAAACUUCAUGUCCUUUCAACUCUGAAAUUCCACCAAAGGUAAGCAUACAAUAAUUUUAUAGUGUAUAAUUAUACAAAAGAAGAACAUGUUACGUGUGUAGAUAGCGCAAGGUGGCAUAUUAUCAUUGAGAGCAUAUAUUAGCACAUAGUAUGAUGAAAAUUGGAACCGGAUGUACUGUCAGCAUGUCUUUCUCCUUAUUCUGUAUAUCAUCAUUUCCUCUACACUUGACAUGAUAGCUUGAGAAAAAAAAGAUGAGUAUCCAGAUAUGUACAUAGUUAUGGCUAGAUUCCUUGUUUUGUCCAAGAAAGAUAAGUCAUGAGCCCAUCAUCUUAUUACAGCAAGGCACAUCUUUAUCAGUGGUGCAAGAGGUGUAAAUUUUAUAUUUUCUUUUCAAGAAAAAACUCCUGCAAUUUCCAAAUGCAUGGCCGCAGCCGCUGGCUGCAACGUCGACCCAAUGGUGCUUGUCUGGGCGAAGUACAAGGCCGUUGGGCUCGUCGCCUGGCAGUUCUGCAACCCACAUCAGUUUCUAUGACUAUAAUUUCUACUAUUGUACUCUUUGUAGUUUCUAAUGCAUAAAUUAAUCUAAUGUUGGGAGAUUUCCAAGGACUAACUAAGACAAUCAGAAUCGGAGAGGAGAGUUUCUCAACAGCAACAAAAUGAAUUAGAGGAGAGUCAACUAACCUUCCUUUCUUGCUUCGUCACCCCCUCAUGGGUUAUGAGCUAUGACGACCAUGAUGCCGGCCGUGCGUCCGAGCGCCUGUGGUCUGUACAUCGACGACCUGCCCUUUUCUCAUUUUCUGGUCACCGAAGAGUUCGAUCGACCAGAAACAUGGAAGGGCGAGAGUACUCAUGUUCCUGCCCUGUGUGUGUUUUCUUUGUGCGAAAGUUCCUGUUUCAGUCAGAGAGGUAGAACAAUAAGAAAAUGAGGUCUUUCACUUCCUUACAGAAUGAAAUUUCUGUCUUGCAAGUUUACAAAGUCAUCAAGUUAAGCACUUACGAAAAAAUUAUCUGACUCAGAAAGCUGAUAUCACUCAUACAAAAAACAUUUUAUACAAUAUUGAGUUUUGACAUAGCUAUCAAAUCUGAACUGAACUUCACAGAAUUCAAAAGUUGUAUAGCUGACAAUGGGCCGUAGAUGUUUAGGAAAUAUAGCAAAUACUAAUGGUAAAAUAGUAAAGAUGGUACUAAAGGAAUACACUUAUAAACUAACCUCAUUUUCUACCAAAAAGCAGCGUUCUUCUAGUAUUUCUUGAUAUGAAAUCCUCGAUCAAAUCUUCAUAAUUAAUCUUCUCCAAGACAUCAUUUUCAAGUGCUAUUGUUGCCAAUACAUUCAGUCUUUCUUGUGUCAUAGUCGAACGCAAGUAGGAUUUCAACAAACUUCAGUUUAGAAAAGCUCCUUUCGACAGAUGCAAUCGUCACAUGAAUGGUUAACAAAAUUCUGUAUGCAAUAACAGCAUUAGGAUAGAUUCAGGAGCGCUUCUUCACAUGGUUCAAAAAAUGUAAGUGAUAACUUUUUAGGAUUCGAAGUCAAGAUGCUUUGUCACACACGUCAGGCACUAGCCAUUACAACCUGCUAUUUCUUAUUAAUGUCAGAAGCUCAUAUGCGCAUGUUUCUCAUAACAGCUUUUGUUCAAGUGAUAAGGCGCGAACCAUAAUACCUCGUAUGCGAAAAAUGUACUCUUUUGUAUCAUUGAAUAACUCUUUUUUGAAAAAAUAGACGAGGUGUGUUAGCAAUGUCUCGAAUAGCACCCUUCUGAUAAAAACAUGCCGAGCAAAUCGCUAGAAUGGACGCCACAGUUUGUCAGGUAUGUGAUCAAAUAAAUUAUAUUUUUACACUAAAAAUUUUAAUUCCAAUUUUGUUCGAAAAUUUAAAAUAGAAGUACCAAAACAAUCCAGAUUUUCCAUAAACCCAGGUUUUCGGUCCCUCCAGGAAAAGAAUACCGAAAUUGAUGAAAAAAAUUGUUUCAAACCCCUUCUGCGGCAUGUAUUUUGGUUUCAAAUCAAGUAUUAUGCCUAAAAUAAUUUUUGAAUGAAGCCAAAAAUAACAAAAUAGGAAAAACCUUGUUCGAACCCCCUGUGCAACAUGUAUUUUGGCCACAAAUCAAUUAUUAUUAUCAAAUGUCUAAAUAUAGGUUUUGGCUGCAGUGGCUAGUACAUGGGUCGUGCCGGGCAACGCCCUGGGUUUUAUUUUGAUUUUAUUUCUUUCCUUGCAACUGACAUCUAGGACCCACACGUAGGUUGGAGCGUAGGCCAACUGACGUGUCGUGUUGAACAGAAAGUUAACGGAAAUGUACUGAAAUGUAUCUGAAACGCAAGUUAUAUGGUCGGUUUGUAUCAUUUUCAAGUUUAUUUAUGAAUUUGUUCAUGGAGUGCAAGUUUAUGUACCAAUAGUGUAAUUAACUCAUAUCUUUAUGUUCUCCACUCUUAAGUGCAUCUUCAAGAUUAACACAAGCAGCCAAUAAACUCUUGUCAUCCAAGGAUCGCAGCCUAUCUGUAGUAAAUAAGAAACCAAAUAUCUAGUUUUUGUUUAUUCCUUCGCUUUGAAGCACCAGAAUGAUACAUCCUUCCCGGAUGCAUGAUUCCUUCUGUUUAAUAAGACAAACAUAAUCUGAAUCAAUUCAAACUCUGAUAAUUGUAGCUAUAAGAAAAUAGAAAAGGACUUCACCCAGAUGUAAGAUUUUGAAUUUUUCGUUUAACAAAAAAGUAGCCUACUGCCUACUGCCUACACUAACGAAAUAAAGUAGGGCUUGGACGCUUUAUCUACAAGAACCAUGGCCUGACAAGAACUUACCCUAGCAAGGGUUGGGAUGUGCGCUAGGGCUAGUUCAUUCGUUGGCUCAAACCUACAAGUUUCAGGUAAAAACAGCACAGGUAAAAGGCUAUUUCACACAGCAUAGGUUGGGGCAUGAGGUUCAGGCGUGACGCUGGGGCUCAGGAACUCACUCGUACGGCGACUUGGGGGUUGGCGACUCCAUGGAUGCUUCAGCAGCCGCAGCAGCGCGAGCCAACAGCCGGGAGCCUGCUCCCCUCCGCCGCGGGCCACUGCCGUGCCGCGCAGCUCCAGUCGCCGCGGGCCGCGGCGCCCGCCUCCCGCCGCCUUGGGC